Molecule: transfer RNA, 69 nt
Filed under: Osteocephalus oophagus (oophagous slender-legged treefrog)
Lineage: Eukaryota; Metazoa; Chordata; Amphibia; Anura; Hylidae
Description: tRNA-Arg
Rfam family: tRNA
About the family: Transfer RNA (tRNA) molecules are approximately 80 nucleotides in length.
Source: RNAcentral
GAGUGAGUAGUCCAAGAAAGACAGCUGAUUUCGACUCAGCAGAUUAUGGUUUAAACCCAUACCCCCUCU